Molecule: ribosomal RNA, 96 nt
Filed under: Schistosoma mansoni
Lineage: Eukaryota; Metazoa; Platyhelminthes; Trematoda; Strigeidida; Schistosomatidae
Source: RNAcentral
CCCUGUGACCAUAACACGUUAAAGACACCAGUUCUCGUCUGACCACCACAGUUAAGCAGCGUUGGGACCGGCCGAGAGUACUAGGUGUCGCUGGCU